RNAcentral lists this ribosomal RNA (253 nucleotides) under uncultured bacterium. RNAcentral's name for it is "partial 16S ribosomal RNA". It matches the Rfam family "Bacterial small subunit ribosomal RNA", at positions 524 to 776 of the family's 1533-position model. The record is from RNAcentral.
UACAGAGGUCCCAAGCGUUGUUCGGAUUUACUGGGCGUAAAGGGUGCGUAGGCGGUUGAGAAAGUCCGGUGUGAAAUCUUGAAGCUUAACUUCGAAACCGCAUUGGAUACUUCACAACUAGAGAAGUGGAAGGGAGACUGGAAUUCUCGGUGUAGCAGUGAAAUGCGUAGAUAUCGAGAGGAACACCAGUGGCGAAGGCGAGUCUCUGGACACUAUCUGACGCUGAGGCACGAAAGCCAAGGGAGCAAACGGG